This is a long non-coding RNA of Mya arenaria, 770 nucleotides long. RefSeq lists it as uncharacterized. The transcript is spliced from 2 exons. Lineage: Eukaryota; Metazoa; Mollusca; Bivalvia; Myida; Myidae. The record is from RefSeq and is a predicted model, not a curated record.
UGUGUAUUCACAGAAAUAGAAUUAAAGGUGAGCUUGAUUUUAUACGAAUCUCAGGAAAUAAAUCGUCUCAACAUCCUUAAAUAUGAAAGCACCAAUAGUACUAUUCGUCUGUGCCCUAUUGACGGAAUGUUUCAAUGUGUGCGAAAGUUCCCACAGGGUCAGAAACUUAAGGACACCACCUACGACUCAGAAGCCGCCUGGCUGUCAUCACAACGGCAGACACUACGCCCCCUACGAAGAGAUAAAUUCAGGUCGGAGCGGGAACUGGUGCUACGGAUUGAUGUGCGGAUAUGAUGGGUACAUUCUGGCUUGGGACGACUGGAAUUGUGGGCCGACUACUCCUCCUUCAACUCCCCCAACUCCAACACCGCCGGGUGUGAAGUGAUCGGAAUACAAGUGUGAACUUAAGCUUUUGAUGUGCAUGCAUUUCGUUUUGUUGCUUGCCUUUUGGAAUUCGUUUCGUAACUAAAUAUUUUGGAUUACAUGCUUAUUAUCCCUCGCAUUAAUACAUCUCUCAGAUAAAGCUUACACCGCACAUAAUUUUUCCAAGCGCGGACAUUGAUAUUCGGUCAUUUCACCCAUUGACGAUUUUAAGUAUACUCCAUGGCCGAGAUUGUCCCAAACCGAGCGUAGGGUGUUAUGCGGUCAACGAGGUUAAGAUUUUUCAGACUAUUUUUACUUCAUAAAACAUGAAAUUGUCACUGUGAUUAUAUGUACGAAGUUUUAAGUUGUUAUCUUCCAUAGUGUAGGAAAAGAAAACCAUAAAAAUG